RNAcentral lists this ribosomal RNA (253 nucleotides) under uncultured bacterium. RNAcentral's name for it is "partial 16S ribosomal RNA". It matches the Rfam family "Bacterial small subunit ribosomal RNA", at positions 524 to 776 of the family's 1533-position model. The record is from RNAcentral.
UACAGAGGUCUCAAGCGUUGUUCGGAUUUAUUGGGCGUAAAGGGCGCGUAGGCGGCGCUGUAAGUCUGGUGUGAAAUUUCGGAGCUUAACUCCGAAACUGCAUUCGAUACUGCGGUGCUUGAGGACUGGAGAGGAGACUGGAAUUCAUGGUGUAGCAGUGAAAUGCGUAGAGAUCAUGAGGAAGACCAGUGGCGAAGGCGGGUCUCUGGACAGUUCCUGACACUGAGGCACGAAGGCCAGGGGAGCAAACGGG